RNAcentral lists this ribosomal RNA (322 nucleotides) under uncultured eukaryote. Its description in RNAcentral is "partial 18S ribosomal RNA". It matches the Rfam family "Eukaryotic small subunit ribosomal RNA", at positions 1470 to 1796 of the family's 1831-position model. The record is from RNAcentral.
CCCUUAGAUGUUCUGGGCCGCACGCGCGCUACACUGAUACGCUCAACGAGCUCCUUGGCCGAAAGGUCCGGGUAAUCUUUGAAAUCGUAUCGUGAUGGGGAUAGAACAUUGCAAUUUUUGUUCUUCAACGAGGAAUACCUUGUAAGCGCGGGUCAUCAUCCCGCGCUGAAUACGUCCCUGCCCUUUGUACACACCGCCCGUCGCUCCUACCGAUUGAGUGGUCCGGUGAGGCUUUGGGAUCUGAGCGGAAAGAGCGUUUCGCUGUUUCUGCUCGGAAAACUCAGUCGAACCUUAUCAUUUAGAGGAAGGAGAAGUCGUAACA